RNAcentral lists this ribosomal RNA (271 nucleotides) under uncultured bacterium. RNAcentral's name for it is "partial 16S ribosomal RNA". It matches the Rfam family "Bacterial small subunit ribosomal RNA", at positions 225 to 507 of the family's 1533-position model. The record is from RNAcentral.
AUGGACUCGCGGCUUAUCAGCUUGUUGGUGGGGUAGUGGCUUACCAAGGCUUUGACGGGUAGCCGGCCUGAGAGGGUGACCGGCCACAUCGGGACUGAGAUACGGCCCAGACUCCUACGGGAGGCAGCAGUGGGGAAUAUUGCACAAUGGGUGGAAGCCUGAUGCAGCAACGCCGUGUGCGGGAUGACGGCCUUCGGGUUGUAAACCGCUUUCGCUCAUGACGAAGCUUUGUGUGACGGUAGUGGGUAAAGAAGCACCGGCUAACUACGUG